RNAcentral lists this ribosomal RNA (441 nucleotides) under uncultured bacterium. Its description in RNAcentral is "bacterial SSU rRNA". It matches the Rfam family "Bacterial small subunit ribosomal RNA", at positions 958 to 1392 of the family's 1533-position model. The record is from RNAcentral.
AACGCGAAGAACCUUACCAAGGCUUGACAUACACCGGAAAGCAUUAGAGAUAGUGCCCCCCUUGUGGUCGGUGUACAGGUGGUGCAUGGCUGUCGUCAGCUCGUGUCGUGAGAUGUUGGGUUAAGUCCCGCAACGAGCGCAACCCUUGUUCUGUGUUGCCAGCAUGCCCUUCGGGGUGAUGGGGACUCACAGGAGACUGCCGGGGUCAACUCGGAGGAAGGUGGGGACGACGUCAAGUCAUCAUGCCCCUUAUGUCUUGGGCUGCACACGUGCUACAAUGGCAGGUACAAAGAGCUGCGAAGCCGCGAGGCGGAGCGAAUCUCAAAAAGCCUGUCUCAGUUCGGAUUGGGGUCUGCAACUCGACCCCAUGAAGUCGGAGUUGCUAGUAAUCGCAGAUCAGCAUUGCUGCGGUGAAUACGUUCCCGGGCCUUGUACACACCG